AAGGAUUUAAGUUAACCAAACUAGGAACCUUCAAAGUUCCCAAUAAAGUAAGAUCUUUAAGCCUUA
RNAcentral lists this transfer RNA (66 nucleotides) under Chalcosoma caucasus caucasus. Its description in RNAcentral is "tRNA-Trp". The record is from RNAcentral. Lineage: Eukaryota; Metazoa; Arthropoda; Insecta; Coleoptera; Scarabaeidae.